This 282-nucleotide unclassified non-coding RNA is filed under the name Fibroporia sp. RNAcentral describes it as "partial internal transcribed spacer region". The stretch from base 1 to 46 matches the Rfam family "Eukaryotic small subunit ribosomal RNA", at positions 1786 to 1831 of the family's 1831-position model. Lineage: Eukaryota; Fungi; Basidiomycota; Agaricomycetes; Polyporales; Fibroporiaceae. The record is from RNAcentral.
AAGUCGUAACAAGGUUUCCGUAGGUGAACCUGCGGAAGGAUCAUUAAUGAAUUUAUUGAAUUGGGUUGUAGCUGGCUCUCUCUGGGGGCAUGUGCACACUCUAUUCAUCUAUUUCCAUAUACACUUGUGCACCUUUUGUGGGUCGGUCAUAUGAGGGAAAGCUGAAAGGCUUUUGUUCUAGACCUUCCUACGUUUUUAUUAUAAACCCUAGCAUGUCUUUGAAUGUCUUUGCAUUAAUGAUGCAUUUUAAUACAACUUUCAGCAACGGAUCUCUUGGCUCUC